Molecule: unclassified non-coding RNA, 216 nt
Filed under: Hevea brasiliensis (rubber tree)
Lineage: Eukaryota; Viridiplantae; Streptophyta; Magnoliopsida; Malpighiales; Euphorbiaceae
Source: RNAcentral
AAGAACCACUGAAAGGGAGAAUACACAGAAAAAUGAUACCAGAUUUCAGUACUAGAUUUCAAAAUUACCAUAAAAAACUUAGCACUAUAUUGCAGCGGAUGGAUGUCCGAUUGAAUAACUUAUUAAAUCACUUUGUAUCAACUUAUUAAUGACUUUAGAGACCUUUGUUUGGAUAGACAGUAGAUAUGGUACCUUUAAAGCUUUUGCAAGGGCAAG